RNAcentral lists this long non-coding RNA (2992 nucleotides) under Malus domestica (apple). RNAcentral describes it as "long non-coding RNA (MDOM_LNC019553)". Lineage: Eukaryota; Viridiplantae; Streptophyta; Magnoliopsida; Rosales; Rosaceae. The record is from RNAcentral.
CAAAAAUAAUAAUGAGAGGGUACAAUUACCCAUUCACAACAACCUUUUGUGAUUACCCAUCUUUUUGGCCUCUAGAGAGCAAUGCCUCACAAUGAUACGAUGUUGGCAUCAUUUCUCUUAGUUAAGUUCUUUCCCACCAUGCUGGUUUAGAUAGGGGUUUAAGCAUGACCUCACGAUGAUACGAUGUCGGCCACACUCGUUGCCUACCUUAACCUCAUCAAAUGUUUUAAAUAAACUCCUCCUGAGUAUAAGCAUGCACUUUGCACUCCCCCAUGAUAGGGUGAAGGCGAUGUACAAGUCAUAAACGAUUGGAGCCUACCACGGUGGAAGGCCACGAAAAAGUGUUCAAAGCACUCUUACGCUUUCAACUUAAUAUUGUAUGUUGGUUGAGGGAUUUUAAGGUCUCAUCAAUUUUAUUUAUUUAAUCAUAUUCAAAUAAAUAAUGUCCUAUUACAACUACUAGUCCAAAGUUAAUGAAAUUAGUAGCAUAUGAUAUCCCCACUAUUCGUUUUCAUAAACAAAUCAAUAUCAAAACAUUUUUCAAAAUAUUGGAGAUAUAUAUAACUACUAAUUGUUUUCAUUAUAGUUUAGUAGCGUAUGAUACUCCCACUAUUUGUUUUAAGAAAAAACAAAUCAAUAUCAAAAACGAAUUUUUCAAAUAUUGGAAGUAACUAUUACUACUAAGGUUUUUGCAUUCCUUUGAAAUUGGACUUAUAGUUAUCUUAGGCUCUUGGAUGACCAUGGACUUAUUAGGUUAUUGCAACAAUGAGCCAACAUUGUUGAAUAUAAACUCGGGGAGGUUGUGUCAAUUUAAUUACGUGCUUUUCAAUCCAAUUAAAACAUUUUCAUUGAGCCAUUAGAAAUGAAAGACAAUCAUUCAUUGCUAAUUAGGGCAUUGGACCCAUUUAAUCUUUAAUCUCAUGUCAAAACCCUCUUUUAGUUAUGUCUCCUUACCAAUAGUUAAAGAAACUCUAGUCUAGCACUAGAGGGAAUCAACUAACUAAAAGAGAUAAAGAAAUAAUAAGAAUUACAAACCGAUUUGUACAAAUUCCUACAAAUUACACAUACUAAGAGGGAGAGAUAGAUUAAUGUCAAAUGUGACAAGGUCCAACAAAAACAGUAAUUAAAACACAUUCCCAAGGUUCAAACAAUUUGAUUUUAGCCCCUUAUCUCAUAGCUCAAUUAUCGUUUAAGGCAUAAGUCCAUAGUCACCCUUUUUCUAACUACUUAAUCACAUUAAAUAAUCAAAAUGGAAUGCAACAUGAACAUUUAGAUUUAGUGCAUAUGGGCACAAAAGAAUUAUGAGUUUAAACAACUAACAAAAUUAAAAUAAAAUAUUUUAACUUUCUAGUUAGUAGGGGCCUAAAUGCAAAUAAGAAAAAGUUAGGGGUCAAACCGUAAAUACUCAAAAGUAUAAAAUAUCUUUUUCCAAAUUACAAAAGACCCCCUAAGUGGAUAAAUCCACUAGGGUGGCUGGCCACAUUAAGGGGAGAUGGGAAGUCUCACCCAUCUUGCUUUAAUUCAAUGCAAGGUAGAAAAGUCCAAAUUUGCAUGUCACUUAGUUUUGGCUUAAAAGGCUUUAAUGAAAAAGGUGAUGGAAAUCUCCUAGACAAGUCUAGGGUUUUAAAAGUUUUAAUAUGGUUAUGGAUGGUAAGAACAUCAUCAAAAACCAUAAAACUAUGCAUGAAAACCAAAUAAAACCAUUUUCACCCAAAACCAAACUAUGAACACCAAGAACAAAACCAUGAACACUUUUUCAAGAUUUGUGUAUUCUUGGUGAUUUUUCAAACCCAAAAACUAAAGUGACAAGGUUUCUACUUUCUAGCUUUAAAAUGAUGUGUGAGUGUCUUACAAUAAAACACAAACACAUGCCCAAAAAUCCCCAAAACCGUGCCAACCGCAAAGAACAAAACCCCAAAAUUUUGUUCAUGACUUAUUCUUCAUUCAUGCAUACAAAACAACUUUUACAUGCAUAUCUUUUUUCAACUCUUGAUUUAUAUUUUUCAACCAUUGAAAAACAAAAGAUAAACAUACUUUAAAUGAAGAAAUAAUAUGUCAAAUUAGUUCAAAACUCAAUUUUCAUUCAUGCAUACAAAACAUCUUUUGCAUACAUAUCUUUCUCAACUAUUGACUAACAUUUUUCAACUAUUGAAAAACAAAAGAUAAACAUAUUUUGAAUGAAGCAAUAAUUAUGUCAUACAUAAUAUUAAUACCCAUAUGCAUAAAAUCUAAAAGGACACAUUAUACAUAAACCUUUGGCUCUGAUACCACUUGAAGGGAAAAAUUAUGAGUUUAACACAUGGGAUUUCUAAAUGACUAGCAUGCAUAUACAAUUCAAAAUUUUUAUACAUGAGCAACGGAAGCAAUUUAUCAAAUAAUAUCAAAGCUAUAGCCAUGCAAAUCCCCUUCAAGGUUCAUAGGUUUAUAUAUAAUGCAUCUAAAACAUUCAAGUAAAGAACAAAGUGAAAGUAUAGAUCUAUACCUCUUGAUCUUGAUUUUAGACCAAGGAUGGACCUCCUCCAAGUCCUUUGCUCCUUGAAGUCCUUGAGCCUAGCCUUCCUCCUUGCCUUCUCCACUUUGUUAGUAAGAGUGCUCCAAGGUUCUCCUUUAGUCUCCAAAGGAGAAGACCUCUAAAUAUCCACACCCACUAGUGUAGUGAGAUGGAUGGAGGAAUAACCAAAAGGGUGAAAGAUUGUUAGCUAAAACACCCUCUAGGUGGCCGGUCUUUGUGGUUUUAGAGAGAUAUUUUCUUUUGCCUCUUUGUUGUUUAAAAACACACAAAAACCCUAAGGAUUAAAACUCUAUAAAGUUCCUUAUAUAGACAAAAAGAAACCUAGUCAACAACUUGACCAAAUAUCUCUCCCUUUCCACUUGCAAGGGCCGGCCCCUUUGUGUUGGUUUGGGCUUUGGGCUUUUAUAUAUUUCUAGUCAUCCAAUGCUUGAAUAAAAGCCCAAUGGGUUUAGGCCCAAUGGGCCCAAUUAAACCCGAACG